UUCAACAUUAUUUUCUCUGUAUAAACUCUCUCUCUAUUCUAGAGAGUUCCAAACGCUCUGCCUUCUCUCUACAUUUUUCAUGAUUUCUCGGUCUAAUAUCAAUGUUUACAUGAUAUCAAAGCCUAGACGACGAUCUGAUUAUGUUUCUCUACAUCUCGUUGUCUUGGUUGAACUCUUUUUGAGAUUUUUUUGGGGAUUUUUCUGAGACCUUAUGGUCGAUGAUGCUUCUGACCUAGAUCGGAUGCUUUUCCGAGUUUUUCAUCAUGAUAUCUGAGUGUAUUUUCUUCACUCGAACGUUCUGGGAGAUUUUCUGCUGAUUUUUUGGUGGUUUCUCGGUGACCUAUCGGCUUCUGGGGUUUCUGGUGGUUUAACCUAGAGUUUUACUGCUAUCCGGUGGCUCGAUUCUCACUCAGUGGAUGUUUUGGGUGCCUUUCCAACAUCCCUGACCACAUCUUCAGUAAGGAUUUCAACGGUUACACCUAGGGUUUUGUACCCAGGGUUUUCUCUGUUGUUUGAAGGCCGAUCUUCUCCGAUAGCGAAGAAGGAGGGUAACUCUGUCCUUAUCUUCAGUAUUAUAUGCUUUGUGUGUGAUUAUCUGACUAUGUAUGUGAGUAUCUGGUGUUGUGUGUGAAUACCUGAUUUGGUUAUACUCUGUUUGUUGAAAAACUGUUCAUUGACUAUGGCUUCUAACACAAAUGCUGGUACCUCCUCUUCUGUAGACUCUUCCAGUCCCCUUUUUGUAUAUUCCUCUGAUGUCCCUGGGGUCUCUCUUGUUCCCACUCCCUUCUCGGGUAGUGGUUA
RNAcentral lists this long non-coding RNA (801 nucleotides) under Nicotiana benthamiana. RNAcentral's name for it is "long non-coding RNA (NBEN_LNC011650)". The record is from RNAcentral. Lineage: Eukaryota; Viridiplantae; Streptophyta; Magnoliopsida; Solanales; Solanaceae.